UACGGGGGGGGCAAGCGUUGUUCGGAAUUACGGGGCGUAAAGGGCGCGUAGGCGGUUCGCUAAGUCGGAUGUGAAAACUCUGGGCUCAACCCAGAGCCUGCAUCCGAAACUGGCGGGCUAGAGUUCUGGAGGGGGUAGCGGAAUUCCUGGUGUAGCGGUGAAAUGCGUAGAUAUCAGGAGGAACACCGGUGGCGAAGGCGGAUCUCUGGGCCUUACCUGACGCUCAGGCACGAAAGCUAGGGGAGCGAACAGG
RNAcentral lists this ribosomal RNA (253 nucleotides) under uncultured bacterium. Its description in RNAcentral is "partial 16S ribosomal RNA". It matches the Rfam family "Bacterial small subunit ribosomal RNA", at positions 524 to 776 of the family's 1533-position model. The record is from RNAcentral.